RNAcentral lists this long non-coding RNA (3101 nucleotides) under Nicotiana tabacum (common tobacco). Its description in RNAcentral is "long non-coding RNA (NTAB_LNC011172)". The record is from RNAcentral. Lineage: Eukaryota; Viridiplantae; Streptophyta; Magnoliopsida; Solanales; Solanaceae.
GGCUAAGUAUAUUAGAAUGGAGAGAAGGAUUGGAAAAUUCAUGAGGAAAUUUUCUCUGCCGGAGAAUGCGAAUACUGAUGCCAUUUCUGCUGUUUGUCAAGACGGGGUCUUGACUGUUACUGUCCAGAAGUUGCCUCCUCCAGAGCCCAAGAAACCCAAAACUAUCGAGGUCAAAAUUGCAUGAGAUAUUAGAGUAGUUAAUAAUUACUCUGUUUUCUCGACAUGGGAUUGGGAAAUGCUCUGUUUUGAUGGUAAUAAAAUGGUAGAGAUCUAGGAGUGGUGGUCUUUCCCUCUGUUUGUCUUUAAUAUUUCCCAUGUUUUUUGAAGUAUGAUGAAAUGUGAAGAACUAAAUGUCUAGGUGUGCCAUCUCUUCUUGUUUACUGCAGGGGAGAUGCUACUACUAUCUAGUUUUGUUUCUUCGACUACUAUCAAUAUAGAGAGUGCAAUUGUUCCUAUCCAAUGCAUAAGUGCAAUUAUCUCAAUAUGGAGAAUGCAAUUUCUUUUUAUCUGAACUCCUUUAUGUCUAUAUUUGACCAAAAAAUUGCAAACCCUUCGUUAAACUAAUUAAUUUUGUGUCAUGAGGAAUUAAAGAUAACAACCUCAGAUCUAUAAAUGACAGUAGUGAGAGGAGAUUAAAUAUGGUGUGCAUUCCAUGUCUAGACAUAAUUAACGAUGAUGGACUAUCAAGUAAUAAAUAGCAUUAAAUGACAUUAAAGUAAAUAAGGAGAAAGAGGAGAUUAAAUAUGGUGUGCAUUCCAUGUCUAGACAUAAUUAACGAUGAUGGACUAUCAAGCAAUAAAUAGCAUUAAAUGACAUUAAAGUAAAUAAGGAGAAGAAUUUACCUAAUAUUGAAUGGGGUGGAUAAUUCCUUCUUCUGACAAAGAUUAAUGAUAGAUAAAUAAUAGAAUAUUGGGACCUUUCUCGAAUCUGAUAGAUAAGUGUGAAUAAUAGACAAUCAAAUAUCUUUACAAAGGUAAUGUUUGUAUUUUAUCUAGAGAGAGUCAGCUUUUCAAAGAGUGUUCUUAUCAAACAAUAUUACAUGUCUUUCACUUUAUCUCUCUAUCUACUUAUAUGGACAUACCCCUAAUCAAUCCUAAAAGUAUAAGUACAAUUCUCCUAAAAGAUCCUAUUACAAAAUUAGCUGUUGCUAUUGCUCCUAACAUUUGACCUAGGCCAUCAUUGGCUGCCCGGCUAUGAAAAUUAUGUACUAGGUGACCUCGACCAAAUUACUUUUCGUAAUCUCUCUUCAUGUUAAAUUUUCUUGAGGCAGAUUUUGACCUAUACAGUUAGUCCCUUCGCUUAUUGAGGUUGACUCUGGACGAUCUUGAUGAGCGGACUUUGUUAAUCACGAUUAGAAAUUUAGGCGAGUAUGUUGAAUAGUAACGUUUCAGACGUGAUGGCUACGUGGCACUUUGCGAGUCGUCUCUUAUAGUCGCGUCGAUUCAGAGUGACGUCAUGAUACCAUUUUCCCAAUGUAUAGUAUCGUUUCUUGUGCCUCUGCCAUUUCGAUACCUGCACUGGGCAUUGACAAUUUGUUUCCUCGAUAUUGAUGCCCGAGUUCUUAUUCAUGGGAGGCCCAUGUACUAUUUCUUCCACUGCUAGCUAGAGCAUGCGCUAUCGUAUUCGUCUCACGCUAGAUAUGGACAUAUGGUGUAUGGGAGGAUGGUUCAUUGCUCGAAGGAGAAACUUGUGAACUUGUUGUAUGGUUGAUAGUAAAUUAUCCCAACAAUGAUCUAAGUUCCUAGGAGAAUAGCCUAAGAUAUCUAUGUGAAUUUCCUAACAUAUUUUGCUAUUUGAGUCUCACUUCACUUUCCAUCAAAUCUUGUUUGAAACUUACGCAUCCCUGUCCAAAAUGUUGCUUUUAUAUAGCAAAACAAAAAAAAUAUUUAAGUUAUCUGCACUGUUAGGUAAAGAUAAUUUUAAUGAUCAGUGUGUUUUAAUAUAUUAUAAUAAUAAAUUAAUUAAUCUACUAUAAAUAUUUAUAAAAUAAUUAUUUUCACGUGAUAUGGUUAUAUAAAUAAUUUUUGCACGACAAAUGAAUAGAGCUAAAAGUUAAAAGACAAAUAAAAAAAGAGCCCAAACGGAAAGGAGUAAAAAUGUAAAAUACAUUACAUGCUAGCAAUUUGAACGACAUGUAACUCGACCACAUUCUAGACGAAUGUAGAACAUGGACAACGUCUAAACAGAAACUCCUAGAAACUUGCCACCUUCCUCUUCUAUUUCUCUCCAAAAGCUUCCCUGUUUCCACUAUUUAAUCACCCAAUCUUCAUUCUUCCCUCAACAUCCCCAGCAAUUCAAUUCUAAAACUCACAAAAUUCCACAUCCAAAAAAAUCCCAGGAUCAUUGGAACCAAGUCAACCAAGAAGAGGAGAAUGGAUUUCAGGCUAAUGGGAAUUGACACACCACUGUUCCACACUCUCCAGCACCUUAUGGACGCUGCCGGUGAAGAUUCCGACAAGUCCGUCAAUGCCCCAUCAAGGAACUAUGUACGUGACGCUAAGGCAAUGGCUGCAACACCAGCCGACGUGAAGGAAUACCCUAAUUCCUAUGUUUUCGUUGUGGACAUGCCAGGGUUGAAAUCCGGAGAUAUUUGCAGGUGGAAGAUGACAACGUGCUGCUGAUCAGUGGAGAAAGGAAGAUAGAAGAAGAUAAAGAAGGGGCUAAGUAUAUUAGAAUGGAGAGAAGGAUUGGAAAAUUCAUGAGGAAAUUUACACUGCCGGAGAAUGCAAAUACUGAUGCGAUUUCUGCUGUUUGUCAAGAUGGGGUUUUGACUGUGACUGUCCAGAAGUUGCCGCCACCUGAGCCUAAGAAACCCAAAACUAUCGAGGUUAAAAUUGGAUGAGAUAUAGCAGUAGUUAUUAGUUACUCUGUUUUCUGGACUUUGGAAUGGAAGUUCUCUGUUUUGAUGUUUGAUCUAGGAGCGGCGAUCUUUUGCUUUUCUGUCUUUAGGUUAUCUACUACUAUGUUUUAUAAGUAUGAUGAAUGGAAAAAUGUGUCAGUAUGCUAUAUCUUGUGUUUAAUGCAAGUGAAAUGCUACUUUUCAGUCUGUGAUUGCUAUCCGUUGUUUCACAUUAUAUGAAUUAGUUUGACUAUGCACGAAG